Molecule: transfer RNA, 74 nt
Filed under: Candidatus Buchananbacteria bacterium RIFCSPLOWO2_01_FULL_46_12
Lineage: Bacteria; Candidatus Buchananiibacteriota
Also listed under: 1 other name
Description: tRNA-Gln
Rfam family: tRNA
About the family: Transfer RNA (tRNA) molecules are approximately 80 nucleotides in length. Their secondary structure includes four short double-helical elements and three loops (D, anti-codon, and T loops). Further hydrogen bonds mediate the characteristic L-shaped molecular structure. tRNAs have two regions of fundamental functional importance: the anti-codon, which is responsible for specific mRNA codon recognition, and the 3' end, to which the tRNAs corresponding amino acid is attached (by aminoacyl-tRNA synthetases). tRNAs cope with the degeneracy of the genetic code in two manners: having more than one tRNA (with a specific anti-codon) for a particular amino acid; and 'wobble' base-pairing, i.e. permitting non-standard base-pairing at the 3rd anti-codon position.
Source: RNAcentral
UGCGGGAUCGUCUAAUGGUAGGACACGGCCCUUUGAAGGCUGUUAUCGGGGUUCGAAUCCCUGUCCCGCAGCCG